RNAcentral lists this ribosomal RNA (264 nucleotides) under uncultured bacterium. Its description in RNAcentral is "partial 16S ribosomal RNA". It matches the Rfam family "Bacterial small subunit ribosomal RNA", at positions 96 to 354 of the family's 1533-position model. The record is from RNAcentral.
UGGCGAACGGGUGAGUAACACGUGGGCAACCUGCCCAAAAGAGGGGGAUAACACUUGAAAACAGGUGCUAAUACCGCAUAACCAUAGUUACCGCAUGGUAACUAUGUAAAAGGUGGCUAUGCUACCGCUUUUGGAUGGGCCCGCGGCGCAUUAGCUAGUUAGUGGGGUAAAGGCUUACCAAGGCAAUGAUGCGUAGCCGAACUGAGAGGUUGAUCGGCCACAUUGGGACUGAGACACGGCCCAAACUCCUACGGAAGGCAGCAG